AGUGAACGCUGGCGGUAGGCCUAACACAUGCAAGUCGAACGGCAGCACAGGAGAGCUUGCUCUCUGGGUGGCGAGUGGCGGACGGGUGAGGAAUACAUCGGAAUCUACUUUUUCGUGGGGGAUAACGUAGGGAAACUUACGCUAAUACCGCGUACGACCUACGGGUGAAAGCAGGGGACCUUCGGGCCUUGCGCGAUUGAAUGAGCCGAUGUCGGAUUAGCUAGUUGGCGGAGUAAAGGCCCACCAAGGCGACGAUCCGUAGCUGGUCUGAGAGGAUGGGCAGCCACACUGGAACUGAGACACGGUCCAGACUCCUGCGGGAGGCAGCAGUGGGGAGUAUUGGACAAUGGGCGCAAGCCUGAUCCAGCCAUACCGCGUGGGUGAAGAAGGCCUUCGGGUUGUAAAGCCCUUUUGUUGGGAAAGAAAUCCAGCUGGUUAAUACCCGGUUGGGAUGACGGUACCCAAAGAAUAAGCACCGGCUAACUUCGUGCCAGCCGCCGCAGUAA
This 506-nucleotide ribosomal RNA is filed under the name uncultured bacterium. RNAcentral describes it as "partial 16S ribosomal RNA". It matches the Rfam family "Bacterial small subunit ribosomal RNA", at positions 29 to 523 of the family's 1533-position model. The record is from RNAcentral.